This 262-nucleotide ribosomal RNA is filed under the name uncultured bacterium. RNAcentral describes it as "partial 16S ribosomal RNA". It matches the Rfam family "Bacterial small subunit ribosomal RNA", at positions 99 to 354 of the family's 1533-position model. The record is from RNAcentral.
CGAACGGGUGGAGUAACACGUGGGCAACCUGCCCAAAAGAGGGGGAUAACACUUGGAAACAGGUGCUAAUACCGCAUAACCAUAGUUACCGCAUGGUAACUAUGUAAAAGGUGGCUAUGCUACCGCUUUUGGAUGGGCCCGCGGCGCAUUAGCUAGUUGGUGGGGUAAAGGCUUACCAAGGCAAUGAUGCGUAGCCGAACUGAGAGGUUGAUCGGCCACAUUGGGACUGAGACACGGCCCAAACUCCUACGGGAGGCAGCAG